RNAcentral lists this long non-coding RNA (427 nucleotides) under Pongo abelii (Sumatran orangutan). RNAcentral describes it as "lincRNA". The record is from RNAcentral. Lineage: Eukaryota; Metazoa; Chordata; Mammalia; Primates; Hominidae.
AAAGCAAUGUAGAAGACAGAUUGGAAGACUAGAAGACAGUCAGGAGGCCCCAGAGGAAGCUAAUGGUCUGAAAUAACAGGUUAAGAACAAAGAACUGUGAAUAGUUGCUCACUUCUGAAAAAUUCUAGAAGGAAUAGGUGAUCAUUGGGUUGAGGAAAAACAGAAGAUGAUAAACUUGGAAGAUAAUAAACUUAAAAAUUAUGCCUUUCUUAUAUGGUAAAAGGACUUUCUCCUGAAAUGCAAUAAACUUGAGAUGACUAGGGGAAUGAACACGCAAUGGAAGCUGGAGAUAGACAUCUGGGAGGCCUCUGUAGGGCUCUCAUUCUUCUUUCUGCCAGCAUGUGAAGAAGGACAUGUUGGCUUCCCCUUCUGCCAUGAUUAGUCCAACAGAAAACUUUUAAGUACCUGUUUAAAGCAAUUUACAAGA